AGAAUCAACGCUGGCGGCGUGCCUAACACAUGCAAGUCGAACGAGAAAGGGAUUUCGGUCCUGAGUAUAGUGGCGCACGGGUGAGUAACACGUGAAUAAUCUACCUCCGAGUGGGGAAUAACUGAGAGAAAUCUUAGCUAAUACCGCAUAACACUUACGAGUCAAAGCAGCAAUGCGCUUGGAGAGGAGUUCGCGGCCGAUUAGCUAGUUGGCGGGGUAAUGGCCCACCAAGACGAUGAUCGGUA
Molecule: ribosomal RNA, 245 nt
Filed under: uncultured bacterium
Lineage: Bacteria
Description: partial small subunit ribosomal RNA
Rfam family: Bacterial small subunit ribosomal RNA
Source: RNAcentral